RNAcentral lists this ribosomal RNA (401 nucleotides) under Arion subfuscus. RNAcentral's name for it is "partial 16S ribosomal RNA". The stretch from base 1 to 169 matches the Rfam family "Archaeal large subunit ribosomal RNA", at positions 1943 to 2143 of the family's 2987-position model. Lineage: Eukaryota; Metazoa; Mollusca; Gastropoda; Stylommatophora; Arionidae. The record is from RNAcentral.
GGUUAAGUCUGCCCAGUGAAAACUAAUUUUUUAACGGCCGCAGUACUUUGACUGUGCUAAGGUAGCAAAAUAAAUAGGCUUUUAAUUAAGGUCGAGAAUGAAUGGCACCAUGGGUGUAAACUGUCUCCUUUUAUGAUUGUUAAUUUGUUUAAUAGGUGAAAAGACCUAUAUUAAAAAUAAUAGACGAGAAGACCCUUAGAGUUUUUAACCAUAUUAGCUAUUAGAUUAGUUUAUUAAUUUUUUGUUGGGGCGACAUAGUAUCAAAUAGCAUACUUAAUAUUAUUGAUGUAACAAGUCUUUAUUACAAUUGAAUAUAACUACCUAAGGGAUAACAGCAUAAUUUUUAACAUAAAGAUUGUGACCUCGAUGUUGGACUAGGGACUAAAUGUAUUAGUCAUAUA